CCUACGGGAGGCAGCAGUGGGGAAUCUUGCGCAAUGGGCGAAAGCCUGACGCAGCAACGCCGCGUGCGGGAAGAAGGCUUUCGGGCUGUAAACCGCUUUCAGCAGGAACGAAAAUGACGGUACCUGCAGAAGAAGGAGCGGCCAACUAUGUGCCAGCAGCCGCGGUGAUACAUAGGCUUCAAGCGUUGUCCGGAUUUAUUGGGCGUAAAGAGUUCGUAGGCGGUCGAGUAAGUCGGGUGUGAAAAUUCUGGGCUCAACCCAGAGACGCCACCCGAUACUGCUUGACUUGAGUUCGAUAGGGGAGUGGGGAAUUCCUAGUGUAGCGGUGAAAUGCGCAGAUAUUAGGAGGAACACCGGUGGCGAAGGCGCCACUCUGGAUCGAUACUGACGCUGAGGAACGAAAGCAUGGGUAGCAAACAGGAUUAGAUACCCCUGGUAGUCCAUGCUAGUAAACGGUGGGCACGUAGGUGUGGGUUUCUAUUAACGAAAUCCGCGCCGUCGCUAACGCAUUAAGUGCCCCGCCUGGGGAGUACGGCGCAAGACUAAACUCAAAGGAAUUGACGGCNGAGAGNGCGACGACGACGACGAGGAGAGG
RNAcentral lists this ribosomal RNA (595 nucleotides) under uncultured bacterium. RNAcentral's name for it is "bacterial SSU rRNA". It matches the Rfam family "Bacterial small subunit ribosomal RNA", at positions 338 to 965 of the family's 1533-position model. The record is from RNAcentral.